AAUCAACGCUGGCGGCGUGCCUCAGACAUGCAAGUCGAACGCUGCUGUUCGCCUUCGGGUGGACAGCGGAGUGGCGCACGGGUGAGUAACACGUAGGUAAUCUACCUUUGGGUGGGGAUAACAGCCGGAAACGGCUGCUAAUACCGCAUAAUGCAGCGGCAUCACAUGAUGACAGUUGUUAAAGCGGGGGAGUCGUAAGACCUCGCGCCUGAAGAGGAGCCUGCGGCAGAUUAGGUAGUUGGUGAGGUAAUGGCUCACCAAGCCUGCGAUCUGUAACCGGCCUGAGAGGGCGGUCGGGUCACACUGACACUGACAUACGGUCAGACUCCUACGGGAGGCAGCAGUCGGGUAAG
RNAcentral lists this ribosomal RNA (353 nucleotides) under uncultured bacterium. RNAcentral describes it as "bacterial SSU rRNA". It matches the Rfam family "Bacterial small subunit ribosomal RNA", at positions 32 to 363 of the family's 1533-position model. The record is from RNAcentral.